This 164-nucleotide long non-coding RNA is filed under the name Callithrix jacchus (white-tufted-ear marmoset). Its description in RNAcentral is "lncRNA (ENSCJAG00000056701.2)". The record is from RNAcentral. Lineage: Eukaryota; Metazoa; Chordata; Mammalia; Primates; Cebidae.
UUCUGCUCCUGGUGAUCUAAUACUCUUAGACUCCAGGCCUUAUGUACUCUUCUGAUUUCUGUGGGUCCUUCUUUGGGUCCUGUGGCAAGAUUAAGAUUUUCUGUGCUUUAAAGAUGUUGUGAAUCAUAGAAUGUCUUCUGUUUCUUGGAGGAGCUGCUGUGAAC